Molecule: transfer RNA, 75 nt
Filed under: Bacillota bacterium
Lineage: Bacteria; Bacillati; Bacillota
Description: tRNA-Thr
Rfam family: tRNA
About the family: Transfer RNA (tRNA) molecules are approximately 80 nucleotides in length.
Source: RNAcentral
GCUGGAGUGGCUCAGGGGUAGAGCAGCGCACUCGUAAUGCGCAGGUCGUGGGUUCGAAUCCCAUCUCCAGCUCCA